This is a non-coding RNA of Xyrichtys novacula (pearly razorfish), 11842 nucleotides long. NCBI's taxonomy places the organism in Eukaryota, Metazoa, Chordata, Actinopteri, Labriformes, Labridae. The record is from the annotation of a GenBank genome assembly.
CAGUGGAGGAUUUGAAUCGGGGUCAGCGCUGUGGACGUUUUCAUGAGGGGAAGCAGCAACCCCGGCAGUAUGGGAAAGAAAUGAAACGGCAAAUGUCAAUAAAUCCAUCGGACUAAAUGCCAGGCUGAUGCUAAGGAAAUGUCAUUGGCUGUUUAUAAUGGGACCCCCAUACUGUGGAGGGGGAGGCUGCAGCACGUGCCACCUGCUUAGGAAGGCACCGAGCAUGCAGAGACAGGCUGGAGGUGGAGGCAGGCUGUGAGAUGGCAGCUCAGGAGAGGAGUGCAGGUGGUGGUGAUGUGUGGAGGCUGACAUUAAAGAAGAGCCGUAAAAACAGGAACGAGGCAGAGGCAUCCACAGAGGCGCUGAUAUGCGAGCUUGGGAGACGAUUUACACUUUCUAUAAAACCUACUGUUGCACCAAGAUUUAACGGUUAAAGGGGUCUUCCACUGAAUUCAGCAAUGUUCCCUUUUGAUGCAGAUGUGUAGCAGCUCCUUCUAGUUUCUUUAACAAUAAUGAAAUAGGCUGAAAUUCAUUUUGGUGCCUUUUUAUAAUUUACAGAAGCAAACAAGACCAUCAGUGACAAGACUGAUGACUUUUUUAUUGUAAUUUUUGAUGCUCAAAACUGUUGCGAGGGGGUCGGCAUCUAGGGCUGAAACGAUUCUACCUCGAUUACAAAUAAUGAUUGAGGGGCUUUUCUUGCAGUGUUGCCAACCUAGCGACUUUAGCGACUUUUACGGCAGCCACUAGCAACUUUCCUUACUGAGGAGUUUGAGACACUGUUUUCUUCUGCAGAGCUCCAGGAGCUCAUUAGCACUUCGCCUCUGAGUCGUGGGUGGAGACAGCGCUGCUCUGCAUACUUCUCUUUACGCUAGCUUACAGCCUAACAUUGCUGGUGUCGUAGCAGAAGCAGGUAACAAAGACGUUAUUCAGCUCUCGGACACUAAUGUCUAAGUUAAUAUCAUAAUUAGCUUUCUGACGAGCAUUGCGAUCCGCUAACGCACACGCUUGUUCCGCAAUUGUCCUCUAUUUCUCUGAGUCUGGUCUUCAUUGUGGGGCUACAGGAAAUCUGACUUUAUGUGAGUCUGCCAUUUGGGUCCAAUUACUCAAGUAAUCGAUAGAAUAUUCAGUAGAAUACUCGAUUACUAAAAUAUUCAAUAGCUGCAGCUCUAUAUGCAUCAGACAAACACCCUUUUAAAAACACCCACGCAAAAAAAAAAAUCACAAUAAGUGAAACAUUAGACUGUCAAACAUGUGCAGAAUGAGCAUAUGUAGGGGACAGGAUAAAAAAAAAAAGACUCCUUUGUCCACAGGGGGGAGCCAAAGUUGACACAUACAAAAAGUUCCUUACUGGAGCUUUAAAAUCGUGGCUAACAGUGUUGUUGUUGUAUCAGUGUUAAACUCAGUUGAAAAGCCUUCAAAGGAGCUUUAAGUGUCAUCCUUUUGUAGAUUAACCAUAAAAAAAUGAGUCUUUAACUUAUACUUUAAUUGAUUGGAUUACUUAUUAGACAACAAAGAGAUAUCAGAAAUGUCUUUUUCACUAAAUUAUAUAACCUCAAAGUCUGGGUUGUCUUAUUAGCUCUUCUUAGCUCCUUAUUCUGAUUCGACCGUCGGCUUCACCUCUCAGCGUUGGAUGCUUUCCACGUAUCGAGUUGUCCCUUUCACACUUCCCGCCCAUUCAUUUGAAGCUAACGCCUUCCUUUCCUCUCCAAUUUUAUCAGGCGCCACUAUGUCCGAGCGCCGAUAGCUGCUCACUCAUUAGCAGGGAUCAGCUGCUCUUGUCUGUAAACCUUCUCCACUGUGAGUUCCCCCAUUCUGCUUUUCUUGGACUUUCCCACCGAGAUAGAGAGGCUGUAAGGAGAGAGGCUUUUUCUCUCUCUUUGUGUGUGUGUGUGUGUGUGUGUGUGUGUGUGCAUCUGCAUCACUGGCCACUUUCCCAUGAUGCAAACUGACAUCAAGCAGGUAGCAUUAAUAUUCAGAGUGUGGGUGAGUGCGUAGGUGUGUGCACUUGUGGCUUUUGAGUGUGUGCAGCUUUUACCUCGAGAAAAAAAAAAAAAUCCUUCCAUCGCCAUCUUUGAAGUGUGCGCCGCUUGUCACGGCGGACACAUUGUACACCGUGAAUGUUGAUAAAUGUUUACAGCAAACGCCAGGCCACAUUAGCGUGAUGUGUGCGUGUGUUCUUUAGUAGGUGUGCGUUCAAGAAAAGAAAACAGAGGGAUAAUUACCGCCAUGACUGUAUGACUGUAGGCAUGUACAGUACGUCCUAAACCCAAAGACUUGAGGAAACCAGGCCGCUGGAAACCGCACAAUGGAGGACGAGGCCUUCCAGCUGCUUUGAAAAUAUAAACAUUCAUGUAAGCCAGCAGCCAUACAGCUGAGCUGUGCAUGUAUCAUCUCUGACACUUCAGAGAUUACACUCAAACACACUGUUGGAGCAUGUUAACAUCACUGCGUCGAGUUUUCCACGCGCCUCGGCGGAUUGGCUGGUCUGUGAAUUGGAUAAACACUGUUUAGACAAGUUCUCCAUAGGAGCAGAUUUGAAAAUAAUGGCUCCUGACAUAUUUACUCAAACAGACGUGAUUUUCAAGGAACUGUUUUCUAUCUUUACGGGUUUUCUUCCUUUUCUUUAUCGCUCUUUUUCUUAUUUGAGAGGAAACAGAUGUAGGCCUAAGCCUUAAUAUAAGCAUGUUUUAAGCUUUGAGUUAUGGCUGCACGAUAUUGGAAAAAAAUAACAUUGCGAUUUUUUUAAACCCUUCGAUAUAUACUGUAAUAUUAAAAAUACAGGAAUUUUCACCAGAUGACCUGAAUAUUCAACUCAACUUCAUUUGUUAAGCACUUUCAAACAACCACAGCUGAACAAAGUGCUGUACAUAAAUAGACAAAACAAAGCAGACAUAAAAAACAAUAAAAACAGUGGAUAAAAUAAAAGCAGAUAUUAAAAAGUUAAAUACAGUUUCAAUGUUUUUAAAAACUAAUUUAAAAACAUAGAAACAAAUAAUUAAAAACACUGAAACAGGAGCUGAGUCUCAUGCAGGGUUAAAAGCCAAUGAAUAAAAAUGGGUUUUAAGACGAGUUUUAAAAAAUGGACAGUGUGGGGGCUUGUCUGGUUUGGAGGGGUCGCUCGUUCCAUAAUUUUGGGGCUGCAACAGAAAAAGAUCUAUCCCCUCUGAGCUUCAGUUUGGACCUCAGUACAGGGGUGAAGCACUUUAUGCUGAAUUUUUGUGGACAGUUAACCUGCUCUGAUCUUCCCUCUUUUUGUGAAUGUUUGUAGAAUGGCUUCUGUCUGUCUCAGAGAUAAUUUUAACUUUUAUUGUGCUGUGGCGUUAUCGUGGCAACAGAUGUAAUACACUGCCGACACUUGUUUGGUCGACAUCAUCCUCCUUGUAACCCAAAUAAUUCCAGAUACCUGACGUUGCUUUUCUUUUUGGCAACAAAUCUUCAUUUUCAGUCGUUUUCUCUUGUUCAUUUCUCAUUUUGCAAUUGUUGUUGUCACUGUUGUCGCCUCCAAAAACGUGCACCGCUUACAGUAGAGUGGUCCAUGGAAAUGUACAAUUUAAAACUCAUUUAAUUCUUAUUUGUUGGACUAAACAGUGAUGAGUAAUGUUCCGAAGGUCAUUCUCGACGGGUAUAUGUUUCUCGGCACAACACCGGCAGCGCCAGCGACUCACUCCAUGUGCAGGACAUGGUUUCCUCCUCUCUGAUAGCUGGCAGUGUAAUCUGAUUGGCCAUUGAGUAAAGAACCAAUGUGAUUGGUGUUUCACUGCACAGCACAUGCAGAGUCGCAUGCAGUGUUUCUCUGUCAGCUACCCUUGAAAUUAGAUUAAUCAUUUUGCCUCCGACAUCGCAGGCUCUGCAGUGUGACUAUCGUGCACAUGUACAUCGCGAUGACGAUGCUCAAACGAUAUAUUGUGCAGCUCUACUCUGAGAGUUUCAAUUGUCCGACUUUUCUUUAUGUAUUUAAAAAAAAAAAAGACUUUUUUAAUUUGCUCCAAAAAUUUUUGUAUCGCGGCAGCCUCCACUAAAAAUCUCCAGGAGGCUCGGCAGCCUCAAGCAACUGUGCUGAUAAAGCGAUAUCUGCGUCUUCUAUUACAACCCAGUGUGGUGUAAUAUAAUGUAAGCGAGCUGUCACCUGUUGAUUUAGAUGUGUAUUUUAAGCUCGAAGUUAAAAAUGUGGGCGGUUAGGGUAAAAGUUUAGGGAAAAGGAGAGGAAGUUUCGCUCUUGUUGUUGAGAAAGUAGAUUUUCAUGUGUUUAUUAAAGUGAAAUUUCCAUGAAUGGCUCUCCGGGGCUCCUGUCUAACAUUCAGCUAUUAGCAGGAAGUGUCAGUUUGCUUGUUUUGACUGAGUGCAGGCAGAUGCCACCCCGCUGUGCGUUUUGUUGUUUUUCCUAAACCUACACAUCUCCGGGGCAAUCUAUCCGAGAAAUAAGCGCUCUUCGGUGAAUUGUUAGUCUGAUUACAUCUCGAAGAGACGAGUGUGUGUUUGACUUUGUUUUCAGACAACAACAAUCCCACUUCAGAUGUCUCAGGGGCUCAGCCUCCCUUUGACAACGGGGAUCCGCGGACUGUGUGGAGUGCAGAGCGGGGAGUGGGAGCGGCACAGUCAGAGGAUUAACAUUGGAGCUAGUGGCUAAAGCAAGCGGUGCCCACAGGUCAGAUUAGACGAAUGUAAAGCCUGCAGCCCCCUUACAUCGCACUUUGAAGUAGGGCUUACAACCUCGGCUUUAAGACGCAGAGUCGAUGGUGAAAGGAAGCAUCAUUUUUGUCCCUUUUUUUCCAAUGAGGGAUCAGGAAGUGUCGUACCGAGUAUCUUGCAAAUGUCUCACAGGUAUAUGUCACACCUGUUAGGAUUGGCUUUGUUUCACUUUGCUAUAGGAGUUUUAUUUUCUCUUCUUUGGGUCAUAAAAUGUCUCAAAAAGUCUUCAAUUGGACUUUUAAAAGUUUGCUGUGAAUGUCUGUGGGAAAAGAAAAAGUACAGUCCUUUGAAACUCCGAUAAUCAAGUCCCAGUCGGGGUUAGGCUUGCAUCAGAGUUGUUCCAAAGGUUUAAGGUUUUCUGCUUAUUGGGCUCAAUAAUAAUGUACAUAUCAGGCUUUAUCCUCAUUUGGAUGUUUUAGAAAUGUCUGAGUUUGGACAGUCGCGUCAGAGAGCGGGGAUUUGGGCACCCAAAGGUUGCACGGCAACAGGAGAAAAACCGAAAUGAGAUGAGCGGCAGAGACGGAGAGCAUGAAGAUUUUCUCUUAAUAAGGCUGAUUUAUUAUGUGCAUAAUUUUACAUAUGCCCAUAUUAAGCUUGAGGCUUGCAGACUUCACUCACAGCUGUACAGCACCAGUUGCAUACAUGAGGGGACUUCGUGGGUCUGUUUCUUGCAUUGCCAGUUUAGCCGUGAUUAACUUUCAAAAUGCAAAUUUAAGAGCUUAUCAUGCUUGGAAAUAGGUUUAAUUUAAAGUCUUAUUUGGGGAAAUUGCUAGUUAAACUGCCCAAACUUUAAUGUUUACGCCAAAUUCAUUUUCUACUUCUAUCUUUUUUGUCUUAUUUUCUGCACAAACACUCUCAGUUUUACCGCCAGCCUUGUAGAAUUUGUCCCACCCCUUUGUAAAGAAAGUCUAAUUCUUUCACAGGUAACGCUAGCUUUAAUUUACCGCCAGAUAAUGACGGCGUAAUGAUGCCAGACUGAUUUCCUGGUGUUAUUUUGAAGUCUUAAUCAGACAUCAUCGUGCCGCUGCAGACAGCUGCAGCACAUGAACCCACUUUGACGGACCAGAUAUAAACUCCUCUUGACUCUUUUGUAACCCCAAGGCCUGAUUUUCCCAUUUUGUCUCUGUUCUCGAGGACACUUUGUAAUAAUGCUCCUCCCUUGACAGUCCGUGUUCGGUGUCAGCUGCUACUUUGAGGAUAUUGGACAGUAAUGUGCGGCAAAUUUGUCCCACGAUUGAUGUGAUUUUGAGAUUGUGUAAGAACAGUCCAGCUAAAGAAUGGUGCCUGAAGUGAAAUUGAGUUUGGCGUGAAGCCUCAGAAGGAGAAGCCUGAGAAAAUAUUAUUUUCAAUUCUCCUCAAAUAGUCCCUUCAGGAAGGAGGUACGAAAAAUGUGUAGAUGUGCACACCAUGGCGUCAUCUGCGUAUAAAGAACCCAAAUCUAUUUUUGGUGAUGUUUACGCUGUCUUUUUGUGCUUAGAAUCAAACAAAACCACACUAUUAGAGGACUUCUCUAUUAAUAUUUUAGAAAAUGAUGAGAAAAACUCCAUGAAAGCAGUAAACAGGAGAACGAAGGCACCAAUUUGUAACAGGAAACAAAAUUGGACAAGCUCCAGUGACAGUGCUUUUAAAACUGACCCGACUAAUACAAGGGUUAGGUGUGAUUUUGAUCUCCGUGCAAUUAAAUUAAGCUUACUGCUUCAACAAACUGGUAUCGGUUUGUUUAGUAGAGGGAAGUAAGAGAGUUAGUGGUGGGUUAGCAACAAUGAGGUCCAAGAUUAAACGGUCCAGCACAAACUUUAAAGGUCCUUUUUUCCGCGGGGCGAAAAGCGUCUUUUAUUUUUUCGCUCUUUUGUCGAAUUUUUCGGAGAUUCGCAGGCGAAUAUCUGGACCUGCUAGACCUCUGGCCAAUCAAAAGUCAUGUUGUUGAUGAUAUUCAUUUAUCAAGCACGCUAUGGCGAACCCAUCCAGCUCCUCUUGGAGACGAGUGAGCUAUAGAUGAGCUGUUAUGUGCUUAUAUACAUUAUAACGGGGCUGGGGGCCCGGAGCUUUCAAGAAAACGGGACUUUGUCUCAUUCAGAUAGAAUAUUGCCCAUUAUUUUAAUCUUACCUCAGACAUGUGGCGAGCCGCUCCUCUGGACCAAUUGGCUCUCUGUAGUUAGUUGUCUGCUUCUCCAGCCGUGGGGUCAGCUGCUGGAGGAGGUCGUUAAAUCGCCCGAGGGACAUUCUAAAAUACUGGCGGAAUUUUGGGGGGUAGAACUUCGCUUCGCAAAAUUUAUAUGCAUAUUCGCUUCGCGCCCGGUGUGUAUAGGCGAAAACGAUUUUUCGGACCGGCAAAUAUUUUCGCAUUUUCGUCUCGCUUUUUCGCUUCGCUCUGCAAAAUCUCCUGUAAGGAACUUAACUCUAAAUUUCACUGUUACUGAAUACCCAGUCUAUCUUAUCUGUAUCAUUACACAACUGGCCACAUAGGGUGACUUUGAUCGCAGCGCACAUCCUCAAUUUUUGUAGAAAAUCACCACUGUAUCACUUUACUGUGGUCAAGAGCGCCAUUCAGUGGUCAGGUUACGACGAGAGUGGAUUGAUAAUCAUGACAACGAUCCAGAAAAGUAAGCCUGUGUUUCCUCUCUGUGAUUUUCUGUCUUUGAAUUUGGGUUGCCAUGGGACAACUUCCACCGCCCCCGUUUUUUUCACUUUGUAGGAGUCAGACUUUGUGUCUUGAUUCAAUAAAGCGACAUAGAUGCCGGAGAUCCAUUUCUUAGAGGGAUGCGGCACACAGACAUCCCAAAACCUAGACAGAGGAUGGAUAUGCAGACAGAUGAUGCCGGGGGAACGGGGCCAUCACUGGAAAUUUAGCGUCGUGUCAACAUCAGCUCUGACAGCUUCAAUCCGGCGCUCACUCUGCCGGAGUCGCACAGUCAGAGGGCCUCCAGCUGAACUCCUCAACCCUGCAAUUUCAUUUCCCUUCUUCAGAAUAACAUUUCUGGAGGAAUAUUACUCGACAUAACUAUUUUUAUGUUAAUAUUAACCUUCACCAUGUUCUGUCGCUGCAGUCACAGAAUGUGCCCGUUCGUUUUUGUUCCUGUUCAUAAAAUAAAUGCCAAAUAAGACGGCUAAUGUCAUCAGAAUUACGCAGAUUCCCUCCUCGCACUGAUCAUACCUUUUUUUGUUGUAUUAUAGUAUUUACGGCGCGACUCAUAUGAAGCAGAACUUAUUUGAAAAUUCGGUUGUUAGUUUUGUCAAUGGAACCUCUCUGUCAGUUUUACACUUGGAUGCUGCUUCAAAGACUCUCUUCACACCGUCAAAAUGUAUAAAGCUAAAUUCAAAAGAGCGAGGACACUGUGUAAAAUGUUCACAGACGCGAGUUUCAGAAGUUUGUCGAUCAGUUAAAGUUUAUAAAACACUGAAAAAGUUGUGCAACGCUAAAAACUUCAAGAUUACCUUCUAACUAAUCAAGUUAAUUUGGAGACAUGACUGAGUAUUAAAACAGGAUUCUAGUGAGGCUGAGUCUAUCACAUGGAAAGAGAGACAGAAAUGAGAAGACCGCCUGAGUAAAUCGGACAAUAGCUGCAGAAAAAAAGGGGAAAAAACUCACCUGAAGAUUUAAGGAAACGAGGCCAAGGACUGAUGAUGAAAAGCCGAAAACAUACAGGAGCGUGUUCUGUAUUUGCUCCGUAGAGCAGCUCUGGGUAUCACAGACAGGAAGCGUAUUUGGAGCGUAGCAGCAGCGUUGUGCAGCCCCGGUCAGCUGGACUCAGUAUAGAGGAAACAACAUGAUCACAACAGGUUGUUUUUCCUUUCUGUGGUCGAUUUCCUGAUAAUUUGGAUAUAAUUCAGUAAAAAGCAACCUGAUUUUACAGUUUUGGUUUCUGCAGGUUUACUUGUGUUUAAUAAAGUAAACUAUGAUCCUUUCUGCUGUUACCUUCAGACAGAGUUAGCAGUUCAAAGUCCUGUUGGGGUCCACAUGGAUCAGGGAUUGACCAACAGAUAGUUCUGUGUUACUGAUAAAUCCAGAACCAGGAAGUAUUUCUCAUCUACAUGAACUGAUACACAGUCAGGAGUUCACAUAUGAUGUUUUAUUUUGAAAUAUCGGGUGACAUGCGCGUUUUUUGUGUUUGACUUCCUGUCUGGAACGAUCUUCUCUGUGGGGAUUGACGCGCAUUGGAAGCAAAAAUAGAUUCGCCGCGUAUUUUUAGCAGUGCUGCUUUCAAUAUGAUGCUGCAACGGAGCUGAUACACGUCCUGAAUGCUUCACUACAUUGAUUGGAAUGGCAACCUAUUUGCUGCGUGAUAUUAGCCUUAAGGUGGUGAUCUUUGGGCCCUCAGGUACCACUGUAUUCAUAAUCAAAAUCCUUUAUCUGUCACUGUACGCACAAAUGUAGGUCUGACAAAUCAAGACCUGACAUUAUUUUGGAAACUAUGGACGCCAUAUUCUCUGAGGAUCGUGGACACCUGGCUUGUUAUUGAUGAACAGUUAAAAAGCCAGCAUCUUUGAUAUAUGGAGAUGCAUUAGUGAAGAUGCAGAUGCUGAAGUACAUGAUACAUGCAUUGUGACAACAUGGCUCAGUAGUAGAAGAGUCCAGGUGCUUAAUAGACCCACCUUCAGUUCUUAUUUGUCACCUAUAAAAAACGAAUAUCACAAAAAAUAAACGAGUAAAGAGACCUUGAACUGUGGAGGAAAUCCUCUGUGAGUUAUACGGACUUUCAAAAGUCCCUAAAGUUGCUCUUCUUUGUUUCUUCAGUGUUGUCAAAUUAAAAGCUCUGAUACUGAACUUCUCUUUUGGAUUUUUUUUUUUACAGGAAAAAAAAAUUGAAAAUGUUCAAAUAUCUAUUUCUUUUGCUAAUGAGCUUUUCCUUCUUUUCUUUCCAUGCUCACCAAUGGGAUCUCUACUCAUCUCUUCCUGUUGUCCUCUCCCGUCCAAUGGGGAUGCUUCAUUUCUGCUGACUUCAUCAGGUAAGAGAAACUCGUUUUCUCAUCUCUGCUGGUUUGAAAAGCGUCUUCAGGUCGUGAAGUUUGUCUUCAGCUGAUUGGUUGAGUUUGGAUAUGUAGUUGGAUGAAUACUGGAACUUCUUUGAGACUUCCUCCUGGGAUCCCUGGAUCAUUUUUCAGCGGCGACAUGCUCGUAUUUGUUAGUUUUUUUAAGGAGUAGAGGCUUGUGUUGUUGUUUUCUCCGGAUAGCGUCUGCGUCUUGAAGUUUCUUCUAUAUGAAAAGUAGGAGAGAAGAAAAACAACAACCGCUGAGAUAAAAAGAAGUUCGCUGACAAAAAAAGGAAAUCUGACCUCAAUAAAAAUCAAGAUGACGAGCCGAGAACUCAGAAUGACUGCGCUGACCUGAAUACGAGCAGGUUCCUCAGAGCAAUAUCUAGCAGGGAAAUUUAGGGCUACAUGCAGGCUAAAUAGCCUUUUAAAUAAUUCAUAGUUUGCUCAGCACUUGGCUGCAUUGAUAAGCUGCCCGCUUAACAUAUCGAGGGCAUGAAUAAGUGAAAAUCAGAUCCACACAAAUGCGCCGCUCUGCUUUAUCACACAAAGACUUCCUGCGCGUGGCUGGGAGGUACGACACAAACAGGUGUGAUCUGAGCGUCUUUGCAAAACGAGCAGCUGAAAUCCAAAAUGGCGGCGGUGUGGGUCCCUGAUGGGAGCUGUAGUUCAAGAGGAAGUUUCAGAAGCGUGGCCCCCGGCAAUGUCACAAGCUACAAAACUAUACACCAUGCUCAUCAAAAGCAGCUCAGCAGCCCUUCCAAAGGUUUGCUUUUUUGUCGCCUUAGGCGCCCGGAGCUCCAUUCGGCAGCGCUUUUCUGCUUCAUGUCUGAUCAUUAGCGCCACAUGAAAGCAGCGGGCGGACGGCGGAAAUGAUCCCACCUAGUUUUCAUUUGUAUCAUCGCAGACUUUGAGACAAUCACGCCGAGAAACCAGCUCGUUUCUUUCCUGCGGGGAACUUGUUUGUUUUUGGAGAACAAAACCUCGCGAGCCUCCCAUGACUUUUUAUUCAGCGGAUGUGCUCUCUUGUAGAUUUUUGGUGUAAUAUUCUGCAACAAAUUGGAUUAAAAAGUCUCAAAAACACGGUCGGAGAUCAUCCACAAGUCAAGUUCAUAGCCUGGAGGCUCAGACUGAGCCCUGCUCGCUGUGUUUGUGCUGGUUUUACAGUGAGUGUGUGUGAGAGAGAAAAAGCUUGUAGUUUUAUCCCUUUAGAGACGAGACAUGUCCGAGAUGUGAAAAGCCCUUCAAAAAAAAAAAAAGUGUUUUCCUCGCUCGACACUUUGAAAUUGGCUCGCGUCGUGCUCAGGUGUUUUUGGUGUAAUGGUAUUAAGCCCGAGUGUAGGGGUUAAUGAACAAGUGGAAGUGGGGAAGAGGACGCUCCCAAACAAAACGUGUGUCUUUUGUGUGUGCAUGCGCACACAUGUGCUCAAGCCCUUAAUCCUUUAACGGGAUUACAAGCUGCAUUGUCCUUUGUUCACUUGUUCCUUUUUCCACCCACGUACGCGGGUAACGGAGAGAUGUCGGAGCCCACAUUCAGGAUUACAAUGUAAUGUUUUCUUGAUAGGCUGUGUGAGAGGGAAGCUGCCUGUGAGAGUCUUUUUUGACUUACUCUACAAUCCCAUUUUUAUACGACAUGUGGCACUGAGCAGAAAUGGAUGGUUUCCAAAUCAUUUACAGUCGAUCUUUAACUGAAAAUAGUGCCAAAAAAAUUUAAUUAGAUGUUGAAACUGGAAAAUGUUUUUGUUUUAUGAAAGAUAUACUCUCUUUGUUAAUUUGAGAUCAGGAAGAAGUUUCAGAAAAAGUUAAAAAAUAGACAGAAAAUGCUUAAAAUGUUCUGAAAAUGCAAAUGAAACAACUGGAGAAGCUUUUACUAACUAAUUACAGUUAUUUUCAACCAGUUGGUAGCAUAAAAGGGCACUCUGGAGAGGCUGAGUUAUUAAAAAUUAAAGAUUAAAAGAGGUUCACCAAUCUGUGAGAGACCGAGUAAGAAAAUAGUCCAGAAAAGUGUCAAAUGAAGUUGGUUUGAUAAGAAAAUCGGGAGAAAUCACUUCACAAAAUUAUGGAAUUAUGGGGGUUUUAUGGCUCACAGGAAAUAUAGCAUUAAAAACAGAUAAGACUCUGUAGUCCGAGUCACCGCAAUGCCUCAAAAUCAGUUUCAGUUUCAGUUUAUUUGGAUCCACCA